UAGGGAAUCUUCGGCAAUGGACGAAAGUCUGACCGAGCAACGCCGCGUGAGUGAAGAAGGUUUUCGGAUCGUAAAACUCUGUUGUUAGAGAAGAACAAGGACGUUAGUAACUGAACGUCCCCUGACGGUAUCUAACCAGAAAGCCACGGCUAACUACGUGCCAGCAGCCGCGGUAAUACGUAGGUGGCAAGCGUUGUCCGGAUUUAUUGGGCGUAAAGCGAGCGCAGGCGGUUUCUUAAGUCUGAUGUGAAAGCCCCCGGCUCAACCGGGGAGGGUCAUUGGAAACUGGGAGGCUUGAGGGCAGAAGAGGAGAGUGGAAUUCCAUGUGUAGCGGUGAAAUGCGUAGAUAUAUGGAGGAACACCAGUGGCGAAGGCGGCUCUCUGGUCUGUAACUGACGCUGAGGCUCGAAAGCGUGGGGAGCAAACAGG
RNAcentral lists this ribosomal RNA (429 nucleotides) under Gemmatimonadota bacterium. RNAcentral's name for it is "Gemmatimonadetes bacterium partial 16S ribosomal RNA". It matches the Rfam family "Bacterial small subunit ribosomal RNA", at positions 355 to 776 of the family's 1533-position model. Lineage: Bacteria; Pseudomonadati; Gemmatimonadota. The record is from RNAcentral.